This 935-nucleotide long non-coding RNA is filed under the name Brassica napus (rape). RNAcentral's name for it is "long non-coding RNA (BNAP_LNC017007)". Lineage: Eukaryota; Viridiplantae; Streptophyta; Magnoliopsida; Brassicales; Brassicaceae. The record is from RNAcentral.
CGGAGAACACAACCUCUCCGAUCCCACCGAUCUUGAUCGCAAGAUGGGUUCUCAGGUGUCUUCAAUCAUCGGUCACUGCCUCGAGGGGCUUAGCUUAUGGACGCUGAAUCCUAGCACUACCUUGCUGGAGUGUAUGGAAGUGUUUAGCAAAGGGAUACAUCGAGCGUUGGUGCCAGUGGAGAGCAGCAUAGAGAGCAGUAACACUAUCUCGGGAGUCGAGUUGGUUGAGUCUUCCUCUGCUUACAGGAUGCUUACUCAGAUGGAUCUCUUGCGGUUCCUUAGAGACCAUCACUCUGAUGACCUCAAGGAUGUUCUGUCACGCUCUAUAUCUGAUCUCCGUAUUAAGUACGUUUUUUUUAAAAGGGGGUUUCAUAUUUUAAGUAGGUUAUUGGAGUACUUUUUUUCGUGAAUUUAUUCGAGAUGAGAUUUCGAUCUUUUAAACUAAGAUAAUUUAUGCUUAUGGACGCUGAAUCCUAGCACUACCUUGCUGGAGUGUAUGGAAGUGUUUAGCAAAGGGAUACAUCGAGCGUUGGUGCCAGUGGAGAGCAGCAUAGAGAGCAGUAACACUAUCUCGGGAGUCGAGUUGGUUGAGUCUUCCUCUGCUUACAGGAUGCUUACUCAGAUGGAUCUCUUGCGGUUCCUUAGAGACCAUCACUCUGAUGACCUCAAGGAUGUUCUGUCACGCUCUAUAUCUGAUCUCCGAGCUGUUAACGAGUCCGUUUACGCCGUGACGGCGAGUACGAGUGUUUCCAAUGCCAUCAAGUCUAUGAAGGCUGCUCUGCUCAACGCAGUCCCCAUCGUUCACGCCCCUGAAGUAGCUGAAGAGGACCAUCUUCAGCUUAUCAAUGUAAGCUCUUCAUUUUUUCAGAUAUAUUCUUGAUUAUGUAUUAUGUAGAGUGUACUAUUCUCCAUUGUGUGUUUUGAGAUUGCAGGGG